This 67-nucleotide transfer RNA is filed under the name Potamotrygon magdalenae. RNAcentral describes it as "tRNA-Ser". Lineage: Eukaryota; Metazoa; Chordata; Chondrichthyes; Myliobatiformes; Potamotrygonidae. The record is from RNAcentral.
AAGAAAAGUCUGGGACAAGAGAAAUUGCUAAUUUCCCCAUCCAUGGUUCAAAUCCACGGUUUUCUUA